Molecule: ribosomal RNA, 492 nt
Filed under: uncultured bacterium
Lineage: Bacteria
Description: partial 16S ribosomal RNA
Rfam family: Bacterial small subunit ribosomal RNA
Source: RNAcentral
AGUGAACGCUGGCGGUAGGCCUAACACAUGCAAGUCGAACGGCAGCACAGUAAGAGCUUGCUCUUACGGGUGGCGAGUGGCGGACGGGUGAGGAAUACAUCGGAAUCUACUUUUUCGUGGGGGAUAACGUAGGGAAACUUACGCUAAUACCGCAUACGACCUACGGGUGAAAGCAGGGGAUCUUCGGACCUUGCGCGAUUGAAUGAGCCGAUGUCGGAUUAGCUAGUUGGCGGGGUAAAGGCCCACCAAGGCGACGAUCCGUAGCUGGUCUGAGAGGAUGAUCAGCCACACUGGAACUGAGACACGGUCCAGACUCCUACGGGAGGCAGCAGUGGGGAAUAUUGGACAAUGGGCGCAAGCCUGAUCCAGCCAUACCGCGUGGGUGAAGAAGGCCUUCGGGUUGUAAAGCCCUUUUGUUGGGAAAGAAAAGCAGCAGGUUAAUACCCCGCUGUUCUGACGGUACCCAAAGAAUAAGCACCCGCUAACUUCGUG